Molecule: long non-coding RNA, 967 nt
Organism: Bacillus rossius redtenbacheri
Lineage: Eukaryota; Metazoa; Arthropoda; Insecta; Phasmatodea; Bacillidae
Exons: 3
Source: RefSeq, a predicted model, not a curated record
AUAUAGCAAACACUAACAUAUUCACGUUUACUAUAGAUUUUCAGCAGGAUGUAACCAAAAAUUAUAAUUUAAUUGUUUUCAGUGAUGGUUCAGAGCGGAAUAAAACUUCUGAGACGUGUUCGUCAAGUGAAGUCGUCAGGACGCCUAUUCCUGGAUCUCCUGAACUAUCAAUCGCCGAAGAGAUUCCCAUAGAACCACUCCAACCAGAACACAAUGUUGUUGACGAGGGAGACCGUGAAACAACAAACAAAGGAUUCGGUAUUUUAGAUUGGCCAUCUGAAGAAUCAGAAAGUGAACUACCGGAUUUGGUAGUUGAGAAGGACCCUCCACUUAAACCUGUGACUGAUUGUAUAUCAGGAAACCGAUGUGUUGAUAUCGGCCACGUUUUUAAACAAAUGGAAUCCAUAAAACUACACAAAAAGGAAUGUACGAUGGGAAGGUACACGAUUCAUUCAGAAAAACGCUCUGGAUUUUUUUCAACUUGGAGAUUUGUUUGUGAAACUUGUAACCAAGUUCAAGACGUGUCUUCUCACAAAGACGACUUUGCAGAAGACAUCAAUAAUGCCGCUGUUUGGGGUGCUGUUUCUAUUGGAAUUGGGUACAGCCAAUUAGAGGAAAUGUUUUCCAUCAUGGAUAUCCCCGUCAUGUCAUGCGAAAAGUUCCAGAAACACGAAAGUACCAUUCAACAGGCAUGGGAAAACCAUCUUACAUCUAAACUGAAAGAAGCAGGCCAGCAAGAAAAGAAAAUUGCUGAACAAAAAGGACAUUAUCUAAAUGGCAUCCCCUAUGUAACAGUGUUGGGUGAUGGAGGAUGGGGAAAGCGAACGUAUGGACAUGGAUAUAAUUCCUCUACAGGAGUUGUAAGCACCAAUUUGUUAUCACAUUACUUGUUACAGGUUUUUAAACUGUUGCAAGUAAAAUAUUUUUCCAUAUUUUUAAUAACUUUUUAAAAAUUUUUACUUGUACU